Non-coding RNA from Amborella trichopoda, 1090 nucleotides. The record is from RefSeq and is a predicted model, not a curated record. NCBI's taxonomy places the organism in Eukaryota, Viridiplantae, Streptophyta, Magnoliopsida, Amborellales, Amborellaceae.
UUUCUCACAUAUUUCAUCAACUCCUCCUUUUUCAAAACCAGGGACCCAUGUUUCUAAAUUGUUUUUCUGAUAGUUCUCUUUCUUUCUCCUUUUUGGAGGUUUUGACGUCCCGGAACACCAACCCAACCCACUCCACUCCACAAACAAAAGCCAGUUUUGAUGUCCUGGAACACCAACCCAACCCACUGCACAAACAAAAGCCAGUUCAUGGCUCUCUCUCUCACAUAUUUCAUCAACUCUUCAAGUUUCUUUUUCAAAACCAAGGGACCCAUGUUUCUGAAUUGUUUUUCUGAUAGUUCUCUUUCUUUCUCCUUUUUGCAGGUUUUGAUGUCCUGGAACACCGACCCAACGCACUCCACACACAAAAGCCAGUUCAUGACUCUCUCUCUCUCACACAUAUUUCAUCGACUCUUUAAGUUUCUUUUUCAAAACCAGGGACCUAUGUUUCUGAAUUAUUUUUCUGAUAGUUCUCUUUCCUUCUCCUUUUUGCAGGUUUUGAUUUGCAGGUUUUGAUGUCCUGGCUUUCUACAGAAACAGCCUUGCAAAAUUGGAGAAUUUUUUUGGUUGUCUGAAUAACAUGGUAUAAGAAACUUGUCCGUGAGCUACAUAAACAGAGGACGAUCUGAAAUCUGAAAUUCAGUUUCUAUUUGGAAAACAUGGAACCUUCAUUAGUAAUCGUAAGUGCAUUUCUUCAGCUAAAUAUCAACAGAAUAUGAGAAAAUUCUGGUCGUGGCUUGAUUUGAUAUAAAUGUUUCACCUGAAAUUUUUGCCUCAAAAUCAGCCAUUUCAACAGCAAAUAUGCUUGUAACGAGUCUGACCAUCAAACACAUUCGACUUGACGGAAAUUUGAAUUUUUGAUUAGACAUGAUGGAGUACAAUCAUCGACCAUUGUAUUAUCAAUAUUUAUCUGAAGGAUACAGUUUCUAUGAAUAGAAGAGAAGUCUAGAAAACACUUUGGGCAUGGGAAAUCUCUAUGAUGGCUCUAAAAUCAAUUUCCUCCACCAGUUAUCAAAUUUGUAGCUCAAAAAAUGAUCCCAAACUUGUGGAUCCGAGAAGCCUUGAAAAUGGACAGUCUAAAUAGUAUUACAAU